This 551-nucleotide ribosomal RNA is filed under the name uncultured Bacteroidales bacterium. RNAcentral's name for it is "bacterial SSU rRNA". It matches the Rfam family "Bacterial small subunit ribosomal RNA", at positions 66 to 619 of the family's 1533-position model. The record is from RNAcentral. Lineage: Bacteria; Pseudomonadati; Bacteroidota; Bacteroidia; Bacteroidales.
AUCGGGAUUGAAGCUUGCUUCAAUUGCCGGCGACCGGCGCCGGGUCGUAACGCGUAUGUAACCUACUAUAACAGGGCAUAACCUGAGAAAUGGUACUAAUCCCCAUAAUAUUCGGAGAGGCAUCUCUCCGGGUUGAAAACUCCGGUGGUUAUAGAUGGACAUGCGUUGUAUUAGCUAGUUGGUGAGGUAACGGCUCACCAAGGCAACGAUACAUAGGGGGACUGAGAGGUUAACCCCCCACACUGGUACUGAGACACGGACCAGACUCCUACGGGAGGCAGCAGUGAGGAAUAUUGGUCAAUGGACGCAAGUCUGAACCAGCCAUGCCGCGUGCAGGAAGACGGCUCUAUGAGUUGUAAACUGCUUAUGUACGAGGGUAAACUCACCUACGUGUAGGUGACUGAAAGUAUCGUACGAAUAAGGAUCGGCUAACUCCGUGCCAGCAGCCGCGGUAAUACGGAGGAUUCAAGCGUUAUCCGGAUUCAUUGGGUUUAAAGGGUGCGUAGGCGGUUUGAUAAGUUAGAGGUGAAAUCCCGGGGCUUAACUCCGGA